UUUCCUACUCCACUACCACUUGUCUGCUACAGGAAGUCAUCUGCAGGGCGCGAGGGAAGUGGAGGAGUCAAGGAGACACAUGUGAACAGAAAUGAACAUCAUGAUCCUUCCCUCUGUCCUGCACUGAUCCAUCAGGUCAGAACAAGUUCAGCAGUGUAACUAGUGGAAAAUCUCGCCGGUGUCUGUGCCCGUCUCCAGCUCGUUUGAAUCCACUGUCUGCGAGCUGUUUGGUCCCACUCCAACCAUCAUUGCUACUGUCUACUGUCACUUUUGUAUUGUUUUUAUUUUUAUAUUUCAUUUUUAUUGUUGUUAAUUAAUUCUUAAUAUGUUUUUAAUCUCAAUUUGUGUAACUGUGUACGGUGUCCUUGAGUGCCAAGAAAGGCGCCUUUAAAUAAAAUGUAUUAUUAUUAUUAUUAUUUAUUAUUAAACUGAGAUAAGAGUUUGCUGUUAGGAACUCUCUCAAAUUUUGCUUUUUCAAGUGAAUUCAGCUCACUGAGAGGAAGCAACAUAACAUCAGUCAAGGGAUCGUACAUCCUCUUCUCUGUUCUCCAGGGUAGCACAAGUUUUUGAUCAUAGACCAGCCUCUGACCUCAGUUUUCAGACGCUUUAAGGCUUAGUAAGAGAACCCGAAUUCUCCUACUGCCUCAAUUCAGACAUGGUUUUAAAAGGCAACACCUUUGUGUGGGGAAAAAAUGUAUGUCAGACUCCAAGUACACAGUGUUCAAAGUAAUCACAGGCCAUAAUUUGUUCUGGCAGGGUACAAGCUCACUUGUGAGAUUUUUUUUAUUAAGCUGUUGACUUUUUAUGGGUGUGGUUCCCUGUGUAACAAUUCAAGUCAAAUAACAUUAGCAUGUAUCGUUAAGAUGUGAACAGUAGAUAGGUGAAAGAAAUGUCUUUUAUCUACUGAUAUUAUCCCACCAAAGCAUCCAUUAAAAAAAUACAAAAUCAUAGUUCUAAUGUUAUCGGUGGCUAGAGUGGAUAUUCAGGAAUCUAAACAG
Seriola aureovittata is the source of this 998-nucleotide long non-coding RNA. RefSeq lists it as uncharacterized. Lineage: Eukaryota; Metazoa; Chordata; Actinopteri; Carangiformes; Carangidae. The transcript is spliced from 3 exons. The record is from RefSeq and is a predicted model, not a curated record.